GGGGCCGAUCGGAUUCGACCGGGCAGGGAAGGCCUGCGGUGGCGCGUCGUGGGGCGUGCUGGCCACGUAAAAAGCACGCACUCUUUAUAACUGCCGAACCGCAGUACGCUCUGGCGGCGUAACGCCGUCUGUCCCCCGCCUGACGCCCGAUGGGGCGGGGGACAACGACAUCGGGCUGGUCGACGCGUGGUGCAACCGGGCGCGUCGGCGAGGAGGUUCACCGGGAGCUGGGCCGACAGGGAGGGUGUCCGUUCUCGCCCUUGACGCCGAGAUCAAACGACGGACUACACGCGUAGAGGCCGCUUGCUGACUGUCACGGGACGGGGGUUCGAUUCCCCCCGGCUCCAUUG
RNAcentral lists this transfer-messenger RNA (350 nucleotides) under Phycisphaerales. RNAcentral's name for it is "UBA1926 sp023898685 Standard tmRNA". It matches the Rfam family "transfer-messenger RNA". Rfam says of the family: Bacterial tmRNA, also known as 10Sa RNA or SsrA, is named for its dual tRNA and mRNA-like properties. Its role is to liberate the mRNA from a stalled ribosome. Lineage: Bacteria; Pseudomonadati; Planctomycetota; Phycisphaerae. The record is from RNAcentral. RNAcentral also lists the same sequence under 1 other name.